AAACUCAGAGCAUAAGGCGGAUUUAGUAGUAAGUUAAGAAUAGAGAGCUUAGCUGAAUGGGGCAAUAAAGCACGCACACACCGCCCGUCACCCUAUUCAAAUAUACUUCUUAUAUAUUUAAUAAAAUAAAUUAUUAAUAGAAUUAUAAAUAUAUAAGAAGAGACAAGUCGUAACAAGGUAAACAUACUGGAAAGUGUGUUUGGAAUAACCAAAAU
Molecule: ribosomal RNA, 215 nt
Filed under: Marmota monax (woodchuck)
Lineage: Eukaryota; Metazoa; Chordata; Mammalia; Rodentia; Sciuridae
Description: Bacterial small subunit ribosomal RNA
Rfam family: Bacterial small subunit ribosomal RNA
Source: Rfam by way of RNAcentral